AUUGAACGCUGGCGGCAUGCUUUACACAUGCAAGUCGAACGGCAGCGCGGAGAAGCUUGCUUCUCUGUCGGCGAGUGGCGAACGGGUGAGUAUAGCAUCGGAACGUGCCAAGUAGUGGGGGAUAACCAAACGAAAGUUUGGCUAAUACCGCGUAAGCUCUAAGGAGGAAAGUAGGGGACCUAAAUAAGGCCUUACGCUAUUUGAUCGGCCGAUGUCGGAUUAGCUAGUUGGUGGGGUAAUGGCUCACCAAGGCAAUGAUCCGUAGCGGGUCUGAGAGGACGAUCCGCCACACUGGGACUGAGACACGGCCCAGACUCCUACGGGAGGCAGCAGUGGGGAAUUUUGGACAAUGGGGGAAACCCUGAUCCAGCCAUGCCGCGUGUAUGAAGAAGGCCUUAGGGUUGUAAAGUACUUUUGUUAGGGAAGAAAAGCUAGUUUUUAAUAAAAAGUAGUGAUGACGGUACCUAAAGAAUAAGCACCGGCUAACUACGUG
This 493-nucleotide ribosomal RNA is filed under the name uncultured bacterium. Its description in RNAcentral is "partial 16S ribosomal RNA". It matches the Rfam family "Bacterial small subunit ribosomal RNA", at positions 30 to 507 of the family's 1533-position model. The record is from RNAcentral.